GGGCCCGUAGCUCAGCUAGGUAGAGCAUCUGGCUUUUAACCAGAUGGCCCGGGGUUCGAAUCCCCGCGGGCCCG
This 74-nucleotide transfer RNA is filed under the name Methanomassiliicoccales archaeon. RNAcentral describes it as "tRNA-Lys". It matches the Rfam family "tRNA". Rfam says of the family: Transfer RNA (tRNA) molecules are approximately 80 nucleotides in length. Their secondary structure includes four short double-helical elements and three loops (D, anti-codon, and T loops). The record is from RNAcentral. Lineage: Archaea; Methanobacteriati; Thermoplasmatota; Thermoplasmata; Methanomassiliicoccales.